UGCGUAGGUGGCCUUUUAAGUUGGAUGUGAAAUACCCGGGCUUAACCUGGGGGGUGCAUCUAAUACUGGGAGGCUAGAGUGCAGGAGAGGGAAGCGGAAUUCCUAGUGUAGCGGUGAAAUGCGUAGAUAUUAGGAGGAACACCAGUGGCGAAGGCGGCUUUCUGGACUGUAACUGACACUGAGGCACGAAAGCGUGGGGGAGCAAACAG
RNAcentral lists this ribosomal RNA (209 nucleotides) under uncultured bacterium. Its description in RNAcentral is "partial 16S ribosomal RNA". It matches the Rfam family "Bacterial small subunit ribosomal RNA", at positions 568 to 775 of the family's 1533-position model. The record is from RNAcentral.